GCUUGCUGGGCCCCCACUCUCAGACUUUCUGAUGCAGAAGAUUUGAGUUGGGACCCAUGAAUUUGCAUUUCUAGUGACUGUGGAUCCUUUGGUCUUGUUUUCCUCACCAUGAAAUGAUUUUCUCCUCUCUCUUGCUGUCACUGCUGAUUCAACAUUUAAAGCAUUGCCAGGCAGAAUUGUGAUCCCCUGAAGGUGUCUUAUCCUAAUCCCAGAACCUGGUUUUUUGGUUGGAUUGCUCAAUGCCAAGACAAAGAGCUCUUUGAUCAUGGGCUAGAAAAAAGGGUUAAAGGAUGGUUGAGAAAGAAUUCAGGAAAGAACGAUCCUGUUCCUGCUUGGAGGAGGACAGAGGAGCUGAAACCAAUGGGGCCGUGGAGCCUGGGGAGGAAAUUAAUGAAGAGCUGGUGAAGACGGCAUGGCCCCCAUCAAUAUAGUCUCCUCAGUCUGUACCAGGCCCCGUCCCUAUGCUGCGACCAGAGCGCUGUCCCCCGCCGAGCC
This is a long non-coding RNA of Neogale vison (American mink), 495 nucleotides long. RefSeq lists it as uncharacterized. The transcript has 4 exons. The record is from RefSeq and is a predicted model, not a curated record. NCBI's taxonomy places the organism in Eukaryota, Metazoa, Chordata, Mammalia, Carnivora, Mustelidae.